UGUCACGACCCGAAACUCUCAUCGGGCCCGUGACAACCGCCGCGACGUCCCGAUAGGCACUCAUUACCCCGAAUGCCGAUCGGAACCCCGCAAGGCUUAGAAUCAGCUUCCGCAUCUCCCCAGUGAGCGACAGUUAUUAAAUCUCACAUUUCAAAAAAUCAUAAGUCAUUUCCAAAUCAAAACAAUAAAAUAUUACUUUCUGGCUCACAGGGGCAUUUUCAUCAUUUUUCUUCGAAAAUACCGAAACUCGCCAAAAACAUGGUGUAAAAGCUAAAUAUAUUCAUACAUACUUUAAAUCAAAUAACUGAAGAAUAAAAUUACUUUUACAGUGACACGUGGGCCCCCAACUGACUAAGAAGAUGUAGGGCUACGAACCCUUACUUUUUAAGAUGUAACUCCGAUAUUAAUUCUCGUCUUAAUCAACUAUCAACAAAUUGUCCUGAGCUUGAAAAAUGGAUAGGAAGAGGGGUGAGAUUAUGAUUACAUAAUCCCAGUGAGUAAACAAUUACCAUCAAAAGCAUCUAAAGCCGAGUAGAUUGAGACAAUAUAAAAACGUUA
RNAcentral lists this long non-coding RNA (558 nucleotides) under Theobroma cacao (cacao). RNAcentral describes it as "long non-coding RNA (TCAC_LNC005955)". Lineage: Eukaryota; Viridiplantae; Streptophyta; Magnoliopsida; Malvales; Malvaceae. The record is from RNAcentral.